AGCCCUGAGGUGUUUGUCAUGUAAGAUUGCAAAUCUUAAGGAGCAGAUUAGACGUCUGCCGGGGCUU
This 67-nucleotide transfer RNA is filed under the name Gasterochisma melampus (butterfly kingfish). RNAcentral describes it as "tRNA-Cys". Lineage: Eukaryota; Metazoa; Chordata; Actinopteri; Scombriformes; Scombridae. The record is from RNAcentral.